This 2571-nucleotide ribosomal RNA is filed under the name Triticum aestivum (bread wheat). RNAcentral's name for it is "partial small subunit ribosomal RNA". Lineage: Eukaryota; Viridiplantae; Streptophyta; Magnoliopsida; Poales; Poaceae. The record is from RNAcentral.
AUGGCGCCAACGACGCACUUCACGCCGUCGCAGGCGCACGCGGCGGCCACCUCCCACCACCCUGCCGCGGCGGCGGCGGCGGCCACGGCCACUGCCCGGCUGCAUGCGUCGGCGUCCGCGUCGGCGCCUGCCGCGGCGGCCGCGCUUUGCCCGCCCUUCCUCGCGGCGGGGUCCCACUCCGUGACGUGCCCGCCCGUCCAGAACCCGAUAUUUAGUGGCCCGGCCGCGCCGUGGGCGGUGCAGCCCCAGCGCGCCGCUGCUGGGGCCCUUGGCCCGGAGUUCAGGCGUGCGCGCUCCACCAAGAACAUCUCCAAGCGCAACAACCGUGGUGCAGGAGGCCAGGAACGCGGGGCGCGCGCGUCCUCAGCUGCUGCUGGGCGCUGUGUCGACAAGCUGCUCCGCGUUGCCCCUGAAGACCGGCGCGCGCUCGGCGCAUCGCUUUCCUCUUUCCGGGGAGAGCUGGUUGGUCCUGAUGAUUACUGCCAUGUCCUUCGGGAGCUCGGCGACAGGGACAAGUCUGCGCUCCGUGCGCUUGAGGUGUUCCACGCUGCACUGCCCCUUGUUGGCAAUGGCUCCGUCGAUAAGGGCAAGCUUUUGACCGCCGCAAUUGGUGCACUCGGCAAGAUGGGGCGACCAGACCUCGCAAGAAGAGGUUUUGAUUCUGGCAUUGCAGGGGGUUAUGGCAAAACGGUGUUUGCAUACUCAGCGCUCAUAUCAGCAUAUGCCAGGAGUGGUCUUGCGACCGAGGCCAUGGGGGUGCUUGAGUCGAUGAAGGGUGCAGGCUUGCGGCCUACCACAGUUACGUACAAUGCGGUGAUUGAUGCAUGUGGGAAAGGGGGUGUUGACCUCAGGUUCACGCUCGGAUAUUUUCGUCAGAUGCUACGGGAUGGGCUUUGUCCUGACCGGAAGACUUUCAAUUCACUUCUUUCUGCGUGUAGCCGCGCAGGGCACUUGGAGGAUGCCCGUGCUGUCUUUGAUGAAAUGAUCCAUCUUGGCAUUGGGCGUGACAUUUACACAUACAACACAUUUAUCGACGCAAUUUGCAAGUGUGGCAACAUAGAGCUUGCUAUGCAGGUUCUGCUGGAUAUGGAAGCGAAAAAGCUGAAGCCAAAUGUUGUUACAUACAGUACCCUGAUUGAUGGAUACUCCAAGCUGGAGAAGUAUGAGGAGGCACUCAAGUUGUACGAAAAGAUGAAGUCUUUGGGAAUUCGAUUGGACCGAGUUUGCUACAACACAGUGCUGGCUAUUUAUGUGAAGACCGGAAAGUAUGCCGAGAUUGCCAUUGUGUGUGACGAGAUGGAGGACUCUGGGAUUGAGAAGGAUACUGUCACUUACAAUUCUUUGAUUAAUGGAUAUGGAAAGCAGGGACGCUUGGACAUCGUCUCUUUCCUCGUCCAAGAUAUGAGGAGACGCGGGGUAGCUCCUAGUGUACUCACAUACUCAACUUUGAUAGAUAUCUAUUCAAAGGCAGGAAUGCAUGGUGAUGCAUUUAAUGUCUAUUUAGAUUUUAAGGAAUCUGGCCUAAAGGCCGAUGUUGUUCUGUUCAGCUCUUUCAUUGACACAUUGGCCAAGAAUGGAUUGGUAGAGUGGGCAUUAUCUUUGCUGAAUGAUAUGACUGAGAUGGGUAUCAAGCCAAAUGUGGUUACGUAUAACACAAUAAUUGAUGCAUUUGGCAAGUCUAAGGUACACGCUGAGGAGGAUCCUGAAGUUGGAGAGAUGGGCAUUGUUGGGGUUUAUAAUGGCCAGAUCAUAAGGGCUGCUAAUCCAGUGACAAGAGGACGCUCUGCCAUUGAUGUCCGGAUGAGGAGGUCUCAGGAAUUGUAUUUCAUUCUGGAAUUGUUUCAGAAGAUGGUCCAACAGGGUGUACGGCCAAAUGUUGUUACAUUUUCUGCGAUCCUGAAUGCGUGCAGUCGCUGUAAUAACUUUGAAGAUGCAGCCCUAUUACUGGAACAACUUCGCUUGUUUGAUAACUUUGUCUACGGCGUUGCGUAUGGGCUCCUUAUGGGUUACCAAGAAAUUUGGUCGCAAGCACAGUCCCUUUUUAAUCAGCUGGGACGCAUGGAUUCUCCAACAUCCUCUGCCUUUUACAAUGCUCUUACUGAUAUGCUAUGGCAUUUUGGCCAGAGGCAAGGAGCUCAGUUAAUUGUGCUCGAAGGGGUGAAUCGCCGUGUGUGGGAGAACACAUGGAGUGAGUUUUGCUUGGACCUGCACCUUAUGUCAUGUGGUGCAGCUCAAGCAAUGGUUCAUGCAUGGCUCCUGAAUGUGCGCUCUAUUGUCUUCGAAGGACGAGCUAUGCCUGAAUUUGUAAGCAUUCUGACAGGGUGGGGAAAGCAUAGCAAGAUUGCGGGCGCAAGCACUCUCCGUCACGUCAUCGAAGCACUGCUCAACUCAAUCGGAGCACCCUUUCAGGUUGAGCGAUUCAACAUUGGAAGGUUUGUGUCGCCCAGCGUCGUGGUGGCUGCCUGGUUGAAAGAAUCCGGCACCAUCAACACGAUACUCCUCAGCGACGAGCGUGCGCAGCGUGCAAGCCCAUCCAAUCUGGUGCCGAGGUUGGAGGCGCUGCAGUUGUAG